UAGGUAGUUUUAUGUUGUUGGG
This 22-nucleotide microRNA is filed under the name Danio rerio (zebrafish). RNAcentral describes it as "dre-miR-196d". Its record names the gene dre-miR-196d. RNAcentral also lists the same sequence under 3 other names. Lineage: Eukaryota; Metazoa; Chordata; Actinopteri; Cypriniformes; Danionidae. The record is from miRBase by way of RNAcentral.